GUUAGGAAUAUUGGACAAUGGGCGCAAGCCUGAUCCAGCCAUGCCGCGUGAGUGAUGAAGGCCUUCGGGUUGUAAAGCUCUUUAGUCCACGAAUAUAAUGACUGUAGUGGAAGAAUAAGCCCCGGCUAACUUCGUGCCAGCAGCCGCGGUAAUACGAAGGGGGCGAGCGUUAUUCGGAAUCACUGGGCGUAAAGCGUGCGUAGGCUGUUUUGUAAGUCAGAAGUGAAAGCCCAGGGCUUAACCCUGGAAUUGCUUUUGAAACUACAAGACUCGAAUUCGGGAGAGGAUAGCGGAAUUGUCAGUGUAGCAGUGAAAUGCGUAGAUAUUGGAAGGAACACCAGUGGCGUAAGCGGCUAUCUGGACGAGUAUUGACGCUGAGGCACGAAAGCGUGGGGAUCAAACAGGAUUAGAUACCCCUGUAGUCC
Molecule: ribosomal RNA, 425 nt
Filed under: uncultured bacterium
Lineage: Bacteria
Description: partial 16S ribosomal RNA
Rfam family: Bacterial small subunit ribosomal RNA
Source: RNAcentral